Molecule: ribosomal RNA, 253 nt
Filed under: uncultured bacterium
Lineage: Bacteria
Description: partial 16S ribosomal RNA
Rfam family: Bacterial small subunit ribosomal RNA
Source: RNAcentral
UACGGAGGGUGCAAGCGUUAUCCGGAUUCACUGGGUUUAAAGGGUGCGUAGGCGGGGAUAUAAGUCAGUGGUGAAAGCUCCGAGCUUAACUUGGAAACUGCCAUUGAUACUGUAUAUCUUGAAUAUCGUAGAGGUUAGCGGAAUGUUGCAUGUAGCGGUGAAAUGCUUAGAUAUGUUACAGAACACCAAUUGCGAAGGCAGCUAACUAUGCGACAAUUGACGCUGAGGCACGAAAGCGUGGGGAGCAAACAGG